This 74-nucleotide transfer RNA is filed under the name Pneumocystis jirovecii. Its description in RNAcentral is "tRNA-Met". It matches the Rfam family "tRNA". Rfam says of the family: Transfer RNA (tRNA) molecules are approximately 80 nucleotides in length. Their secondary structure includes four short double-helical elements and three loops (D, anti-codon, and T loops). Further hydrogen bonds mediate the characteristic L-shaped molecular structure. tRNAs have two regions of fundamental functional importance: the anti-codon, which is responsible for specific mRNA codon recognition, and the 3' end, to which the tRNAs corresponding amino acid is attached (by aminoacyl-tRNA synthetases). tRNAs cope with the degeneracy of the genetic code in two manners: having more than one tRNA (with a specific anti-codon) for a particular amino acid; and 'wobble' base-pairing, i.e. permitting non-standard base-pairing at the 3rd anti-codon position. Lineage: Eukaryota; Fungi; Ascomycota; Pneumocystomycetes; Pneumocystales; Pneumocystaceae. The record is from RNAcentral.
AAGUGGAUUGGUGUAACUGGAAAACAUCUUUGGCUCAUAUCCAAAAGAUAAAGGUUCAAGUCCUUAUCCGCGUU